GGUGACUCAGUGGUAGAGUGCUUGCCUCACAUGCAUAAGACUCUGGGUUCAAUUCCUCAGCACCA
Non-coding RNA from Dipodomys ordii (Ord's kangaroo rat), 65 nucleotides. Lineage: Eukaryota; Metazoa; Chordata; Mammalia; Rodentia; Heteromyidae. The record is from Rfam.